Carya illinoinensis is the source of this 1107-nucleotide long non-coding RNA. RefSeq lists it as uncharacterized. The transcript is spliced from 2 exons. The record is from RefSeq and is a predicted model, not a curated record. Lineage: Eukaryota; Viridiplantae; Streptophyta; Magnoliopsida; Fagales; Juglandaceae.
AUCACUUUUCACCUUAAUAGCAACACACACCUCAGUGGCAAAGAAAAAGAAGUGUUCAGCAUAGCCCUACCCAUGGAAGAACGUAACGUGCAACGGCUGGAAAUCUACUUGACGACUCAGCAGAACAGAGGACGACAGUCUUAGGAAAGAAACAAUUUGAAGCCCACAUAAGCCUUCGAGUUCGGUCUGGAGAGGAGCAAAAUAAACCGAUAGGUUUGAGAUAGAAAGUCAAGAGGCUUACCAAAAGGAGAUGGAAGGACGAUGGAACGGUGACUUGACUAAGAUCGACAAUGGCAACAGCUUCGAGAGAUCAGGGCCUUCGGUGCUUGUAAACCGAGAGACACGAUAGAGCAAUAAUAGGGUCUGUGUUUUGAAAUCGUAGAGGGAGAGGCAACAUAUAUAGACAAACAGGAAUUGUUUGACAUGUUCAACUUGAAGACGAUCACUGGUUUCCAUAGAUACAUGCAAUUCUGCUAGGUACAUGACAAUUGGCGCACUAAGAUGACAUGGCGGGAGCUUUUUUAUUAAAAAAUAAAUUUUAAAAAAUGAAGAGAAGAUGCGAAGAGAAGAAGAUUGGCCGAUCUCCUCGGCCAUUUUCGUCUGUGUCUCCACUUGAAAAUACGAUGGGAAUCUCUCAGCCAUUUUCAUCUCCCCUCUGCCGCAGAUUGGCUGAUCUCCUCUCAGUUUGCCAACCAAAGGUUUUCGUCUCCCCUCGUUCCUCCCUCCUCUGUUCUUCAGAUUGGCCAAUGUCCACCGCAACCCACCUCCUAAGCGUUAGAUCCUGAAGGUUGGCUGCACUCCUCCACGGCUCCACCACUCACGUGAACUCCUUUGUGUCGUCUCUGGUAGGAUUCUUACUUGGGUGAAGGUUGCACAUGAUGCAUAUUGGAGGUUUUAUUUUCAAGCAAGUUCAACCUCAUCAAUAGUCACCCAAAUCCACAAUCUCGGGAUCAGAACGAAGGAAGCUGUUUAUUCGUUAGAGAAAAAGUCAUACUAGGCUUUUUGAGACAUGUAAUAUUUGUUGUAAUAUUUAUUUACUUGUGUUUCAUUUGUUGUAAUAUUUGCCAGUCAUGAACUCAAUUCAAGAACUAUUGUUUCUCAUUUCAA